This 477-nucleotide long non-coding RNA is filed under the name Pogona vitticeps (central bearded dragon). RNAcentral describes it as "lncRNA (ENSPVIG00000023832.1)". Lineage: Eukaryota; Metazoa; Chordata; Lepidosauria; Squamata; Agamidae. The record is from RNAcentral.
AUUUUCCUUAUUUAGUCAUCCACCAGAAGCCAUAAACAAGAAUCUGGAAUGUGGAUGAACUGCAAAACCAUUAAUGUUUUUUUUUUCUUAGAAACUUUCCAGAAAUAUUAAUUGAAAGGUUCAAUGUCCAGGACCAAAUAUUAGGGAAGAAUUUAGAUUACUUAUCUUGUGUUUCAUAAGCUAAUGCGGAAACAUCAAAGGAGAUGGCAACAUCAUGUUUGGUUUCAUGAUGCAGUGGAAAGCUAUCACUGUGCAGAGAUUCUCAGUAUGUUUUUGAUCAUUGAAACAGUUGUUUUGGAAAUGAGAAGUUGUAGAAAUGAUCCCUGUUACUUCUCUCCUUCACAGAUCCCUGCUGUCAUAAGUCCUUACAUGCACGACAGAGAAAGUGGUAGCAAGUUAGAGCAGGACAGUGACCUGGAAGCCUUCAGAACAACACUGAUCUGUCUUUGGAUUGGCUUGCUUCAGGCAUUACAAUGA